AUUGAACGCUGGCGGCAUGCCUUACACAUGCAAGUCGAACGGCAGCACGGGUGCUUGCACCUGGUGGCGAGUGGCGAACGGGUGAGUAAUACAUCGGAACAUGUCGUGUAGUGGGGGAUAGCCCGGCGAAAGCCGGAUUAAUACCGCAUACGAUCUACGGAUGAAAGCGGGGGACCUUCGGGCCUCGCGCUAUCGGGUUGGCCGAUGGCUGAUUAGCUAGUUGGUGGGGUAAAGGCCUACCAAGGCGACGAUCAGUAGCUGGUCUGAGAGGACGACCAGCCACACUGGGACUGAGACACGGCCCAGACUCCUACGGGAGGCAGCAGUGGGGAAUUUUGGACAAUGGGCGAAAGCCUGAUCCAGCAAUGCCGCGUGUGUGAAGAAGGCCUUCGGGUUGUAAAGCACUUUUGUCCGGAAAGAAAUCCUUGGCCCUAAUACGGUCGGGGGAUGACGGUACCGGAAGAAUAAGCACCGGCUAACUACGUG
RNAcentral lists this ribosomal RNA (486 nucleotides) under uncultured bacterium. Its description in RNAcentral is "partial 16S ribosomal RNA". It matches the Rfam family "Bacterial small subunit ribosomal RNA", at positions 30 to 507 of the family's 1533-position model. The record is from RNAcentral.